RNAcentral lists this ribosomal RNA (625 nucleotides) under Hepatozoon cf. felis ex Hyaenidae JK-2021. RNAcentral's name for it is "SSU rRNA". It matches the Rfam family "Eukaryotic small subunit ribosomal RNA", at positions 188 to 801 of the family's 1831-position model. Lineage: Eukaryota; Apicomplexa; Hepatozoidae. The record is from RNAcentral.
UUUUUUAGAAGAGAUGCAUUUAUUAGAUAAAAAAUCAAUACAUGCUUUUAAAGAAAGGAAUUUGGUGAUUUACAAUGACUUAGCAAAUCGCAUAGUGAAAACAGGCGAUAAAUCAUUCAAGUUUCUGACCUAUCAGCUUUCGACGGUAUGGUAUUGGCUUACCGUGGCAGUGACGGUUAACGGGGGAUUAGGGUUCGAUUCCGGAGAGGGAGCCUGAGAAACGGCUACCACAUCUAAGGAAGGCAGCAGGCGCGCAAAUUACCCAAUUCUAACAGCAUAAGAGAGGUAGUGACAAGAAAUAACAAUACAAGGCAGUUAAAAUGCUUUGUAAUUGGAAUGAUAGAAAUUUAAACACCUUUUAAAGUAUCAAUUGGAGGGCAAGUCUGGUGCCAGCAGCCGCGGUAAUUCCAGCUCCAAUAGCGUAUAUUAAAAUUGUUGCAGUUAAAAAGCUCGUAGUUGAAUUUCUGCUAAAAAUAACCGGUCUGCUUUUAAUAAAGGUGGUAUCUUGGUGUGUUUUUAGCAAUAAUGUCCUUUGAAAUGUUUUUUACUUCAUUGUAAUAAAUUAUAUUCAGGAUUUUUACUUUGAGAAAAUUAGAGUGUUUCUAGCAGGCUAACGCUUUGAAUA